This 3768-nucleotide long non-coding RNA is filed under the name Sus scrofa (pig). RNAcentral's name for it is "lncRNA (ENSSSCG00065061219.1)". Lineage: Eukaryota; Metazoa; Chordata; Mammalia; Artiodactyla; Suidae. The record is from RNAcentral.
CAUGGUUCCUAGUCAGAUUUGUUAACCACUGAGCCAUGACAGGAACUCCAUAAGUUACAUUUUUAGAACAAAGGGUAUAGAAUAAGGUCCAAUAAUGUCAUUAUAUUAAAUAGAAACUUCUCCUUAUUUUUCUUUUGAUCUUCUAUUUUUUGGGGUUUUUUGUUUGUUUGUUUUGUUUUGUUUUGUUUACCAUUUCUAGGGCCGCUUCUGCCGCACAUGGAGGUUCCCAGGCCAGGGGUCUAAUUAGAGCUGUAGCCGCCGGCCUACACCACAGCCACAGCAACGUGGGAUCUGAGCCACCUCUGCAACCUACACCACAGCUCACGGCAAUGGCCAUGCCGGAUCCUUAACCCACUGAGCAAGGUCAGGGAUCGAACCCGCAACCUCAUGGUUCCUAGUCAGAUUUGUUAACCACUGAGCCACAAUGGGAGCUCCUUGAUCUUCUGUUUUGUUUUGUUUUGUUUUUAAAUCCAUUCUUACUGUUACAGUUUAUUUGAAUUGACUUUCUGUUCUCAUAAUUAGACAUUGUGUUUUAUUUCUGGUUUUGUUAUUAAAAAUCAAUUCUGUAAACAUUAUAAUUUAUUCAAGGUUAAGCUAAUUAGUGUCAGAAUAGAAGAUGGUAUAUCUCCAUCAACUAAGAAAAUAGUGUGAAAUAACAGGCACUUCUAAGUUAUUUUGAGUAUAUACUCAGUAAUUAUGGCCAGAGGCAGGUAAUAUAAACUCUCUUAUUUCUUACUUUGUAGAGGGUUUUAUUUGUGAAAACCACUUUAUAACUUGAGCGAUGCUUUGUAAAUGCUGCUGGCCUCUAAUGACUCCUACCUCCCAGUAUUCAAACCUUCAUGUAGCCCCCUCACACACUGUACCAGUACCAAGGUUGAUCUGUGUGACCAUUAAAAUAGAGAAGAUAUGAUGGCAUGUCCCUCCUAAGAUUAGGUUAUAGCUUCCACUAAAGUCACUCUCCAUCUCAGUCAGAUCAUCUGGGGAAGCCAGUGGCCAUGUCACGAAGUCAGUCGCUAAAGAAACACACUUGGUGAGAAAGUGAGGCCUCCUGUCAACAGUCAUGUGAGUGCACCACCUUGGAAGCAGAUCCUCUGGCCCUAUCAAACCAUCAAAUAAAUGCCUAUGGACCUACGUCUUGCCUGCAACCUCAUGCAACACUCUGGGCCAGAGCCACCUAGCUAAAAGACUUCCAAAGUCCUGACUCACUAGAAAUUGUGCAAUAAAUGUUCACUGUUUUAAUCCACUAAAUUUGAGGGUAGUUAGUUACACAACAACGGAUAACUAGGACAUUGUUGUUAUCCCAAAAGUCACUAGCCCCUCCCUCUAACUCCUAUAAAGAGCAUUAUGGUAUCUGAACAAGACAGAAGUAAAUUAGAAAACAAGCUUGCCUGCCAACAAAUAUAUGCUAGGCCGAUAAAACCAAAACACAUAUUUAAUAUGUACUGCUCUUUUUUUCUCAUCAAGUGGUCAGUAAAUUGUGAUCAGAAGGUUAUUGGCUCCAAUUACCCAGCAAUUCUGGGAACAGGUGCUAUUAUCCCCCUUUUGAAAGGAGGAAACCACAAUUGGCAGAGAUUAAGAAAUGAUCACAGAGCGGAAGUGAUACAGAGAUAGUAUCUUAAGUCAGAUCUCUCCUAUCCCUGAUUUAUGUGUGGGUAAGCAUCAACCAGGUUCUAAGAGGUCUAUUAAGUACGCAGCUUUUCUGCAGCAGGGUUCAUAGUACAUCUAGGAGACUUUGUUUUAUUUACUUCAAGCUUGAGAACUGGGCCCCAAGGCAGUAUGUUUCCUUGAUAUCUGGCCUUUGAAUAAGAGGGGCAUUGCUGUGUUAUCAUUCAAUUUUAUAAGUAUCUAAUUUUCUUCCUGGGAAUCAUUAGACCUUUAUUCUUGCAAGUUCUUUUUUGUUUUGUUUUGUUUUUUCCUGCCCCUACUCCAGUAUUAUAGCAUAGAUGUCAGGCUGGUACUCUGGUGUAGAGUGCAAAGCAUUGUGACAGCCCUUCUUCUGAGUAAUGUUAGCAGGAGGGAAUCCAUAAAUCAUAUAGAUCCAUUAAUAGCAAGAGAAAAAUGAUGAAGUAUAGCCAAGAGAAAAACUAGAUUCUGCUGACAGUUAAAAUGUGACAAAGAUUCUGUGAAGCAGAGAUAAUAUAGGAAGAAUGUACAUGUAGAAAACAACUCUAAAUGGGCCAAUAGCAGAAACUUUCUACAAAUGCACCUCCACUGUAGUUCUAAAAUAGAUCAAAUCACUUUGUGACAAGAAUUAUAUCAGGCACCCAUGCAGAAGGAAGAGUCCAGCAAAAACAGGUUAUUGGCUACUGAAAACUCGGCAUGGUAUCAAUCAUGGCAGUUCAGAAUCUUCUAGGUUCCUGCAAGACUUUCUUAAACAUGUCUGGCUAUAUCUGAAGAAUAUUUGUUUGCUUUCUUAGCCAACCAUUCUUGCUAGAUUUGGGGAAUUCAAUAAGCUCUGACUGUUCAUAAUUCAAAAUCUUAGUGACACAUUUUUUGGUUUCUAAAUUAGUUUUAUGAGGCAUGCGAUAAAAAUAAAAUCAAAGUCUGUUGAACACUUAUGGUGCUCAGUCAACUCUGAAUAUGACCUGUAAGAAACAGAGUAGGAACAAAAUGACACUGAGUAACCCAUUUUUAUUAAAAGAAAAAGUGAUUUAAACCAGUGGCAAACAUAACAAGCUACUACAUUUUUUUAAAGUUUUGUCAUUCAUAAGGUUCUGUCUACUUAUCAUUUUAUCAGGUGUGGUUGAAGUGCAAAAUUUAAAUUAAACAUGAUCGAUUUUAUUCCUCAGAUUUAAUGGAAAUGUCCACUUCAGCAUUUAGAAAUAUAUUUGAUGUUACAGUCUCAUCAUUUCAGCUAUGUGCCUUAUUCAUCCUAGUAGCAAAUCCUCAGUAAAUAUAGUUAUUUUACUACCCAUGAAAAGAAAAAUUAGAAUUUUAUCAGUUAUGCAUAUUUUCUACAAAAAGCUAACAAAUAUUUCAGCAUAGACAAAUUUGAUCAUGGACGAUUAGAAGACUUAUAUUUGAGAAUUAUUUAAGGUAAGUUCAUCAUGAAAAGUUCAGUAUCUUCUAAGACAAAAUACAUGAUUUGUAGAAAGAAGCCUUGGAUUAUAAGCAACACUGUAAUGCAAGCCCAGGGGAAGAACAUGGCAGAGGUGAUUUCUGCUCAUAGAUUUUAUUUUGAAAAUCUUCAUCUUUACCCAAAUAGAUUCUUUUUCUAGAGCAUAGAACAAAAAAGGGCCAAGAGAUUUCACCUGAUUGCUUUUCAACUUUGGAGUUUAUGUUCUUGAAAGAUGCCAUGUUUGGCAAAAGAGUAGUGGUAAGAUUAUGGUAUCGGAGUAAAAAUAAGUCAUAUCAGUACAAAUGAAAGCUGACUUCUCUUGGCCUUGGUUUUUGCUCAUAAUGGGCAAGGAUAUGUACCCUGGACACAACUGCCUAAAUUUAAAACCUAUUUUUGCAAUUAAUGUCUGUAUAACUUUAGGAUCUAAUAAUCUCCUCAUGCCUCAGUGACUUCAUCUAUAAAACAGAAGCAGUCCUAGUGUUUAUCUCGUGGCGCUCUUAUGAUAAUUAAAUGAGUCAUAUAGAAAAUGCUUUAAACCAUACUUGCCUCAUAGUAAGGGUUUGUUCGGGGGUUUGUGUGAAAUGACAUGAAAAGGAAAAAAAAUGUAUAUAUAAAUAUAUGUAUAUAUAUGGAGAGAGAGAGAGAUGGUGUGGUGGGGUUGGGGGGGGAAGAAAUGUAUAUGUUUGGGAAUGAGAAAAAAAAAAAAAAAA